UGCAUUCACUACUGUAAAUCGCUUUGGGUAAGAGCGUCUACUAAAUGACUAAAA
This is a non-coding RNA of Salmo salar (Atlantic salmon), 54 nucleotides long. The record is from Rfam. Lineage: Eukaryota; Metazoa; Chordata; Actinopteri; Salmoniformes; Salmonidae.